This 390-nucleotide unclassified non-coding RNA is filed under the name soil metagenome. RNAcentral's name for it is "partial contains 5.8S ribosomal RNA, internal transcribed spacer 2, and large subunit ribosomal RNA". The stretch from base 1 to 122 matches the Rfam family "5.8S ribosomal RNA", at positions 35 to 154 of the family's 154-position model. The record is from RNAcentral.
GAUGAAGAACGUAGUGAAAUGCGAUACUUGGUGUGAAUUGCAGAAUCCCGCGAAUCAUCGAGUUUUUGAACGCAAGUUGCGCCCAAAGCCAUUCGGCCGAGGGCACGUCUGCCUGGGUGUCACGCAUCGUUGCCCCCCCAAACUCCGGUUCGGGCGGGGCGGAAGUUGGCCUCCCGUGCGUGCCUGCGCGCGCGGUUAGCCCAAAAGCGAGUCCUCGGCGACGAGCGCCACGACAAUCGGUGGUUUUUUUACCCUCGUUCCUCGUCGUGCGUGUCCCGUCGCCCGAACGCGCUCUUGUGACCCUCACGCGUCGCCUCGGCGGCGCUCCCAACGCGACCCCAGGUCAGGCGGGACUACCCGCUGAGUUUAAGCAUAUCAAUAAGCGGAGGA